AUUGAACGCUGGCGGCAGGCCUAACACAUGCAAGUCGAACGGAAGAAUGGUGCUUGCUUCUGUAUUCAGCUGCCGACGGGUGAUUAAUGGGUGGGAACUUGCGUUGUAGUUGGGUAUAACGUCCUGAAUCGGGCGCUAAUACCGCAUACGACCUGAGUUAGUAAGAUGGGAAUCUUCAGACCUCACGCUAUUACAUGAACCUAGGACGAAUUAGCUAGUUGGAUGGGUAAAGGCCUACCAAGGGCACGAUCCGUAACUGGUCUGAGAGGAUGAUCAGUCACACUGGAACUGAGACACGGUCCAGACUCCUACGGGAGGCAGCAGUGGGGAAUAUUGGACAAUGGGCGAAAGCCUGAUCCAGCAAUGCCGCGUGUGUGAAGAAGGUCUUCGGAUUGUAAAACUCUUUGAGUUGGGAGGAAGGGCAGUAGGUAAAUACCUUGCUGUUUUGACGUUACCCAAAGAAAAAGCCCCGGCUAACUACGUG
This 484-nucleotide ribosomal RNA is filed under the name uncultured bacterium. RNAcentral's name for it is "partial 16S ribosomal RNA". It matches the Rfam family "Bacterial small subunit ribosomal RNA", at positions 30 to 507 of the family's 1533-position model. The record is from RNAcentral.